GCCCGUUUAGCUCAGUGGUAGAGCGCGCCACUCGUACAUUACGUGCUAUGGUGAGGUCGGUUGUUCAAUCCAGCCAAUGGGCA
This 83-nucleotide transfer RNA is filed under the name Fibroporia radiculosa. It matches the Rfam family "tRNA". From Rfam's summary of the family: Transfer RNA (tRNA) molecules are approximately 80 nucleotides in length. Their secondary structure includes four short double-helical elements and three loops (D, anti-codon, and T loops). Lineage: Eukaryota; Fungi; Basidiomycota; Agaricomycetes; Polyporales; Fibroporiaceae. The record is from Rfam by way of RNAcentral.